UUCGACUAAGCCAUGCGAGUCGAAUGUAGCAAUACAUGGCGUACUGCUCAGUAACACGUGGACAACCUGCCCUUAGGACGGGGAUAAACCCGGGAAACUGGGUAUAAUCCCCGAUAGAUCUCGGUCGCUGGAAUGCCCCGAGAUCGAAAGCUCCGGCGCCAGAGGAUGGGUCUGCGGCCUAUCAGGUAGUAGUGGGUGUAGCGUACCUACUAGCCUACGACGGGUACGGGUUGUGAGAGCAAGAGCCCGGAGAUGGAUUCUGAGACACGAAUCCAGGCCCUACGGGGUGCAGCAGGCGCGAAAACUUUACAAUGCCGGCAACGGCGAUAAGGGGACCUCGAGUGCCAGGUUACAAAUCUGGCUGUCGUGAUGCCUAAAAAGCAUUGCAUAGCAAGGGCCGGGCAAGACCGGUGCCAGCCGCCGCGGUAACACCGGCGGCUCGAGUGGUAACCGUUAUUAUUGGGUCUAAAGGGUCUGUAGCCGGCCGGAUAAGUCUCUUGAGAAAUCCAGCAGCUCAACUGUUGGGCUUUCAGGAGAUAC
RNAcentral lists this ribosomal RNA (540 nucleotides) under uncultured Methanosarcinales archaeon. Its description in RNAcentral is "bacterial SSU rRNA". It matches the Rfam family "Archaeal small subunit ribosomal RNA", at positions 39 to 584 of the family's 1478-position model. Lineage: Archaea; Methanobacteriati; Methanobacteriota; Methanomicrobia; Methanosarcinales. The record is from RNAcentral.